Myotis davidii is the source of this 75-nucleotide non-coding RNA. NCBI's taxonomy places the organism in Eukaryota, Metazoa, Chordata, Mammalia, Chiroptera, Vespertilionidae. The record is from Rfam.
GGCGGUUCCCGGGUGAUGAACCCCAGAAUCGGGCUCCCUCCUCUCUGGUUCCGAGUGCAUCACCCAAGAACUGCA